Molecule: long non-coding RNA, 390 nt
Filed under: Homo sapiens (human)
Lineage: Eukaryota; Metazoa; Chordata; Mammalia; Primates; Hominidae
Description: non-protein coding lnc-MRPL2-2:1
Source: RNAcentral
AUCCCCGGAUUCGGCCCUGGCACGGAGUGGGCGCAGGGUUCCAGACCAGUAGCUAGAGGCCAUGGAUGGGGGCGGCCCCUAACUCUUCCCUUCUUCCGCCCUCACCCGCAGGGCCAUCUGGGGUCUCAGCUUUGCCCAGGAACUCGGAGGAGGGAAGCCGGGAACGUCGGGUCGGCAUGCCUUCCUACAGGCCCUGCUGGAGAUGAUACAAACAACGGGAGGAAGAGAGGAGAGAUCCAAGAAUCAACACUCCUCCUGCUGCUCCAUCCAUCACUGCCCCUCACCUUCUGUGAAGGGCCCCAACACAAGCCCUGCUUCAUACCCUCUUCAAUCAGGACUCAAGUCACAGAAAGGUUACCUGAUUCUUUUAUUUAAGAAAAGUGAAAUACA